This 32-nucleotide non-coding RNA is filed under the name Callithrix jacchus (white-tufted-ear marmoset). Lineage: Eukaryota; Metazoa; Chordata; Mammalia; Primates; Cebidae. The record is from RNAcentral. RNAcentral also lists the same sequence under 1 other name.
UGAUUUUUGGGGCAACCAACUGGGACUUGAUU